GAUGAACGCUGGCGGCGUGCCUAAUACAUGCAAGUCGAGCGAACAGACGAGGAGCUUGCUCCUCUGACGUUAGCGGCGGACGGGUGAGUAACACGUGGAUAACCUACCUAUAAGACUGGGAUAACCUCGGGAAACCGGAGCUAAUACCGGAUAAUAUAUUGAACCGCAUGGUUCAAUAGUGAAAGACGGUUUUGCUGUCACUUAUAGAUGGAUCCGCGCCGCAUUAGCUAGUUGGUAAGGUAACGGCUUACCAAGGCGACGAUGCGUAGCCGACCUGAGAGGGUGAUCGGCCACACUGGAACUGAGACACGGUCCAGACUCCUACGGGGGGCAGCAGUAGGGAAUCUUCCGCAAUGGGCGAAAGCCUGACGGAGCAACGCCGCGUGAGUGAUGAAGGUCUUCGGAUCGUAAAACUCUGUUAUUAGGGAAGAACAAAUGUGUAAGUAACUAUGCACGUCUUGACGGUACCUAAUCAGAAAGCCACGGCUAACUACGUG
This 497-nucleotide ribosomal RNA is filed under the name uncultured bacterium. RNAcentral describes it as "partial 16S ribosomal RNA". It matches the Rfam family "Bacterial small subunit ribosomal RNA", at positions 28 to 507 of the family's 1533-position model. The record is from RNAcentral.